RNAcentral lists this ribosomal RNA (253 nucleotides) under uncultured bacterium. Its description in RNAcentral is "partial 16S ribosomal RNA". It matches the Rfam family "Bacterial small subunit ribosomal RNA", at positions 524 to 776 of the family's 1533-position model. The record is from RNAcentral.
UACGGGGGGAGCAAGCGUUGUUCGGAUUUACUGGGCGUAAAGGGCGCGUAGGCGGCGCAACAAGUCACUUGUGAAAUCUCCGGGCUUAACUCGGAAAGGUCAAGUGAUACUGUUGUGCUAGAGUGUGGAAGGGGCAACUGGAAUUCUCGGUGUAGCGGUGAAAUGCGUAGAUAUCGAGAGGAACACCUGCGGCGAAGGCGGGUUGCUGGGCCGACACUGACGCUGAUGCGCGAAAGCCAGGGGAGCGAACGGG